UGACUGUUCUUUGGCAUUGAUCAGUACUCCUCAAAUUUGUUACCUAAGUUUUUAAAUUAUAAUCUCAAAGGUUUAAAGUUAAAAUCACCUAGGCUUAGGUAUUAAUCACUUAUUAUUGAUGGUAUGAUCAUGAAGAUUUAAAUAUGUUUGGGACGAACCACAGUCUAGUUGAGUACUUUGUUAUGUCAGACUUUUAAGAAAAUUAAAAUAAGGGCAUUCGUACGUUCCUGCUUCAUCAUAUAAAUGUAUUAACUUGUGUUCACAAUACUUAAUAAUUAGCAAUCAUUGCUCUGAUUGUUUACCAGUUCAUUUAUUUGUUGUUGUUGUUGUUGUUGUUGUUGUUGUUGUUAUCAUUAUUAUUAUUAUUGAGGGGGAGGGGGGGUUUAACUGUCCGUGGACUUUUAGACCCCGGCAUUUUACUUGGUAAGAGUAAUAUAUAAUAGUAAAUCUCUGCAUUAGGACCACACUCUGAUUCUCUUCUUUAACUUUCUUGAUAUUUUUCCCGAGGCCUGAACCUUUAUUUUUUCAAUCAUUUUGCAAAUAAAAUUAUGCAUCAAAUUUGAUUAAAUAUAUUACUAGUCAAACAAAACUUAAUCCCCUAUGAUUCAUAGAGCUAAAUCCGCUACUGGUACCUUCUUUGUCAAAUUAUCAUUUUUGGAGUUUUGUUGUAUUGCAGCUUCUUAGUUACGGAAAUGCUCCGUAACUGCUUUUCAUUCCUGCUGUAUGCUACUCUGUAUUGUCAUCCCCGAGUGUAUAGCUAUUUUAUAAGUUAUAUCUGCCGACUGCCGUAUGAUUAGUAGUCUUCUGUGGGAAGUUGUCAUGUUCUCAUAGUUUUAUCUUUGGCUUUUUGUGCAUGUCUGUGUGUAACUUGUUGAAAUAGAAUCCAUCUACAAAUAGAUAUCUUGUAUACUGUGGAUAGAUAACAAUAAAAAGAGCAGACUUAUAUGUUUGAUAUCUCCAUUUGUCUCCACAUUUACCCNNNNNNNNNNNNNNNNNNNNNNNNNNNNNNNNNNNNNNNNNNNNNNNNNNNNNNNNUUCCCCCCCCCCCCCCCCCCCCUCUCACGCACUCACUCCAGGACUAUCACUCUCUCCCUUGUGAAUGUAUAGUUGAUAAAAAUAUCUUGCAAUAAUGAUAAUAGAUAUUCGACGUCUAAGACUUACCUUAGAACUGCCUUGUUUCUUGGUUUCAAAAAACAACUCUGUAAAUUGUCUGGUACCCUAUUUUGUGGAACCAUUUUACUGCAAUUUGCAGUGUUUUUCCAAUUAUCACGAAGAACUUUAAGAUAUAUAUGUAGAAAGUGGAACAUAUAUUUUUGUCUUUAAAGUUUGAGGCGAGAGCAACUAAAAAUUGACGUGAUGUAGUUCCUUUAAUUUCUCCUUCAUACUCACGAAAUAGUUAAUAAGCAGAGGAUAUUUGCAUUGAGUCUGAUGAGAGCUUUUUAGUUCCUAAUUGAUAAGAUUAAAUUAGGGAUAAUAGCAUCAUUAUCAGUAAUAUUUUUACCAAUUAUUUUCAGUCUUCUUCCUGGCUCAUCUCCUUGUAAGGUGAUGAUCACUUCUCUUUUAGUUUGGUUUUGUCAAACUUGCUGAUUAAUUUGGAUGUUUUUAUCUUCGAACCUAAUAUGCGAGUUUCUCUGGUUUAAUAUUUAUUUCAU
This 1652-nucleotide long non-coding RNA is filed under the name Daucus carota (carrot). Its description in RNAcentral is "long non-coding RNA (DCAR_LNC003259)". Lineage: Eukaryota; Viridiplantae; Streptophyta; Magnoliopsida; Apiales; Apiaceae. The record is from RNAcentral.